This 703-nucleotide ribosomal RNA is filed under the name Streptococcus sp. cp04.06. Its description in RNAcentral is "bacterial SSU rRNA". It matches the Rfam family "Bacterial small subunit ribosomal RNA", at positions 56 to 728 of the family's 1533-position model. The record is from RNAcentral. Lineage: Bacteria; Bacillati; Bacillota; Bacilli; Lactobacillales; Streptococcaceae.
AGCUAGCAACGACUGAAGGAAUAGACUUGUCUAUNGCUGGAUAGAGUUGCGAUACGGGUGAGUANCGCGUUAGGUAACCUACCUCAUAGCGGGGGAUAACUAUUGGAAACGAUAGCUAAUACCGCAUAAGAAUACUUAUUGCAUGAUAAGUAUUUAAUAAGGAACAACAGUUUCACUGUGAGAUGGACCUGCGUUGUAUUAGCUAGUUGGUAAGGUAACGGCUUACCAAGGCGACGAUACAUAGCCGACCUGAGAGGGUGAUCGGCCACACUGGGACUGAGACACGGCCCAGACUCACAUACGGGAGGCAGCAGUAGGGAAUCUUCGGCAAUGGGGGCAACCCUGACCGAGCAACGCCGCGUGAGUGAAGAAGGUUUUCGGAUCGUAAAGCUCUGUUGUCAGCCAAGAAUGUAUGUGAGAGUGGAAAAUUCACAUAGUGACGGUAACUGACCAGAAAGGGACGGCUAACAUACGUGCCAGCAGCCGCGGUAAUACGUAGGUCCCGAGCGUUGUCCGGAUUUAUUGGGCAGUAAAGCGAGCGCAGGCCGGUGUUGAUAAAGUCUGAAGUAAAAGGCUUGUGGCUUAACCAUAGUAUGCUUUGGAAACUGUUAAACUUGAGUGCAGAAGGGGAGAGUGGAAUUCCAUGUGUAGCCGGUGAAAUGCGUAGAUAUAUGGAGGAACACCGGUGGGCGAAAGCGGCUCU